CAGCCGCCGCGGGAAUACGUAGGGUACAAGCGUUAAUCGGAAUUACUGGGCGUAAAGCGUGCGCAGGCGGUGUUGUAAGACUGAUGUGAAAUCCCCGGGCUCAACCUGGGAACUGCAUUGGUGACUGCAACGCUGGAGUGCGGCAGAGGGGGAUGGAAUUCCGCGUGUAGCAGUGAAAUGCGUAGAUAUGCGGAGGAACACCGAUGGCGAAGGCAGCCCCCUGGGCCAAUACUGACGCUCAUGCACGAAAGCGUGGGGAGCAAACAGGAUUAGAUACCCCGGUAGUCCCUGUCUCUUAUAC
RNAcentral lists this ribosomal RNA (301 nucleotides) under uncultured bacterium. RNAcentral's name for it is "partial 16S ribosomal RNA". It matches the Rfam family "Bacterial small subunit ribosomal RNA", at positions 509 to 807 of the family's 1533-position model. The record is from RNAcentral.